UCAAUUAUAGUGGUAUGUGAUGGUAUGAAACUUUGUCCGUGCAAAGGUGGUGAUGGAGUGGCACGAAGAGAAGAACAAGAGUGAAGAAGAGAAUAAGAAGAACAAAAGGGAGGGGGCAGUGGCUAGGAUAGACAAAGAACAAGAAGAAAAAAAAAGGGAGGAGGGUUUUAAAGUAAAAAAGUGAAAAAAGAAUUACCUAGGUUAAUAACCUAUUUUACCUAUUCUCAGAAUUCUAGUCUCUGCAAAAUAAAUUCCAAAUUCUACUUUUAUUAAAAAAUCCUCUAAUGACAUUCAAAAUUCGAUUUCUAGAAAAUGGAAUUCUAAACAUAAUAGAUAUGGUGUUAUAUCUAUAAAUAUAAUGCACAGUAUGUCAUAUGUGAAAUUAAAAGACUUUAUGUGUCAUUAAUGAAAAAAAA
Molecule: long non-coding RNA, 416 nt
Filed under: Vigna radiata
Lineage: Eukaryota; Viridiplantae; Streptophyta; Magnoliopsida; Fabales; Fabaceae
Description: long non-coding RNA (VRAD_LNC009549)
Source: RNAcentral